This 465-nucleotide ribosomal RNA is filed under the name Vreelandella stevensii. RNAcentral's name for it is "partial 16S ribosomal RNA". It matches the Rfam family "Bacterial small subunit ribosomal RNA", at positions 338 to 795 of the family's 1533-position model. Lineage: Bacteria; Pseudomonadati; Pseudomonadota; Gammaproteobacteria; Oceanospirillales; Halomonadaceae. The record is from RNAcentral.
CCUACGGGAGGCAGCAGUGGGGAAUAUUGGACAAUGGGCGAAAGCCUGAUCCAGCCAUGCCGCGUGUGUGAAGAAGGCCUUCGGGUUGUAAAGCACUUUCAGUGGGGAAGAAAGCCUUGGGGCUAAUACCCUCGAGGAAGGACAUCACCCACAGAAGAAGCACCGGCUAACUCCGUGCCAGCAGCCGCGGUAAUACGGAGGGUGCGAGCGUUAAUCGGAAUUACUGGGCGUAAAGCGCGCGUAGGCGGUCUGAUAAGCCGGUUGUGAAAGCCCCGGGCUCAACCUGGGAACGGCAUCCGGAACUGUCAGACUAGAGUGCAGGAGAGGAAGGUAGAAUUCCCGGUGUAGCGGUGAAAUGCGUAGAGAUCGGGAGGAAUACCAGUGGCGAAGGCGGCCUUCUGGACUGACACUGACGCUGAGGUGCGAAAGCGUGGGUAGCAAACAGGAUUAGAUACCCUUGUAGUC